This 1551-nucleotide ribosomal RNA is filed under the name Triticum aestivum (bread wheat). Its description in RNAcentral is "partial small subunit ribosomal RNA". The record is from RNAcentral. Lineage: Eukaryota; Viridiplantae; Streptophyta; Magnoliopsida; Poales; Poaceae.
AUGUCUAUGGUAUCUACGCUCCAGCGUCAAGAUCCUUGUCUUUCGCUAUCUACGUCAGAAGUCCAGCUGACCAAACUGAGGAACUUCAGCAGUACAAUGGAGGCUCUGGACAAGGCUCGCUCUCUUGUUCUACUUCUCGCCACUCUUGCCGCCGCCAUCAACUACACAGCGGGGUUAGACCCGCCAGGUGGGCUUUGGCAGGACAACACCGGCGGACACAUGGCCGGUGACCCCAUCCUUCUCACGACCAAUCCUAGGCGAUACAAGGCCUUCUUCUACUGCAACUCGGUUGCCUUCGUGGCCUCCUUGGCGGCCAUCGUCCUAGUCCAGAAGGAGAUUCUGGUCAAGCACCACGUGCUGGAGGCAGCCAUGCUACUCGACCUGUUUGGCCUCAUUGGCGUAUAUGCCGCCGGGAGCUGCCGGGACGUGAACACCUCCAUUAACGACAUGGCUUUGGCAGGCGCCGUCCUAGCCUAUGUGGUUAUCCAUGUCAUCUUCUUCACGCUGAACUACAAGGAAAAAGAAGAAGACGACCAAGCAAAUCAGUUGCUGGAGAAAAGGCGCAAACGGUUGCUCCUCUUCGCGAUCUUGGCUGCGACCAUUACCUACCAAGCCGGCCUCACCCCUCCUGGUGGCUUCCUGCUCCAGGAUGACAAGCUUGGGCACCACGCUGGCGAUCCGGUCCUCCUGUACAACUUCCCACGCCGCUACAAGAUUUUCUUCUACUUCAACUCGGCGAGCUUCAUGUUGUCCAUCUCCCUCAUCAUACUCCUGGUGAACCCCAAUCUGUACAGGCCAGCCAUACGAAGCAAUGCACUAUCUGUUUGUACGGCGGUGGGCUUGUUUUGUUUGAUGGGGGCCUAUGCCGCUGGAAGCACCCAACACCUCAAGACAUCCAUCUACAUCUUUGUGUUGGUCGGUGUGGUCCUUCUCGUUGUAGUUGGACUGCUGCUGGUAUUUUUGCUAAGGGAGCAGCAGAAUGAUGGCAAUUCAGCAGCUGUUGCGCCAUCCAUAUCCCAUGAACAGAAGCAGGAAGAAGAACAAGAAAGGAAGGAGGAUGAAGAAGAAAGGAAGAAGCACGCGAGGCGCAAGUACCUGAUGCUGCUAGGCGUCUUGGUGGCAAGUGUAGCCUACCAGGCCGGCCUAGAACCACCGGGAGGAGCGUGGCAGAGCAGUGGCAAUGGGUACGAGGCAGGCGACCCGGUGAUGCACGAUAACAGGAGGCCCCAGUACCUCGUCUUCUUCUACAGCAACUCCUUUUCCUUCGUGGCUUCCAUUGUUGUCAUCAUGAUGUUGCUACCGCACUGGCUGCCAAACAAUAAGGAAGAAGAAUGGGAGAAAUGGUCGCUGAGGGUGCUGAACUGGACGAUCCUACUGGAUUUGGUCACUCUCCUAGUGGCCUAUGCAGCCGGCUCCAGCAGGUGGUGGGAGACGCCUGUGUAUGUCGGCAUGAUCAUACUACUUGCCGUUCUGGGCUACUUUGCAAUCCACACGAAGCUGUCAAUAUGUUCCGAUCGUCACCGUCGUCGUUGCCACGACAGGCGCCAGAGC